GAGGGGGAGGAGGGAGGGAGAAGGAUGGUAGGGCCCAUAGGGGCAAUAUCAUCUUUUCGCAGGUCAUUUAACAGUUUCCGGACGGAAAAUCCAAUAGACUGUCGUAUAAGGAACGAAAGUUGAAGUCGGUGUCAAAUAGGAAACUAAAAUUUUUUAAGGGUCAAGGAAGGAACGGGUCAUUUGUCUGAUAUCAAAUAAGGAAUUAUCUCAUUAAACAAAGAAGAAGGCCUACUGCUUUCCUGUAAAGCUGUCGUACCACUUUCAUGCGGAUCAAGACAGAAGAUCAAGUUUCCAUGCUACGCGUGCAUCAAGAGCU
This 316-nucleotide long non-coding RNA is filed under the name Setaria viridis. RNAcentral describes it as "long non-coding RNA (SVIR_LNC001797)". The record is from RNAcentral. Lineage: Eukaryota; Viridiplantae; Streptophyta; Magnoliopsida; Poales; Poaceae.